RNAcentral lists this ribosomal RNA (253 nucleotides) under uncultured bacterium. Its description in RNAcentral is "partial 16S ribosomal RNA". It matches the Rfam family "Bacterial small subunit ribosomal RNA", at positions 524 to 776 of the family's 1533-position model. The record is from RNAcentral.
UACGUAGGGUGCGAGCGUUGUCCGGAAUUACUGGGCGUAAAGAGCUCGUAGGUGGUUUGUCGCGUUGUUCGUGAAAACCGGGGGCUUAACCCUCGGCGUGCGGGCGAUACGGGCAGACUGGAGUACUGCAGGGGAGACUGGAAUUCCUGGUGUAGCGGUGGAAUGCGCAGAUAUCAGGAGGAACACCAGUGGCGAAGGCGGGUCUCUGGGCAGUAACUGACGCUGAGGAGCGAAAGCGUGGGGAGCGAACAGG